ACAGAGGGUGCAAACGUUGUUCGGAAUUACUGGGCGUAAAGCGCGUGUAGGCGGUCUAGCAAGUCGGAUGUGAAAGCCCUUGGCUCAACUGAGGAAGUGCAUUCGAAACUGCGAGACUUGAGUCCCGGAGAGGAUGGUGGAAUUCUCGGUGUAGAGGUGAAAUUCGUAGAUAUCGAGAGGAACACCGGUGGCGAAGGCGGCCAUCUGGACGGUGACUGACGCUGAGACGCGAAAGCAUGGGGAGCAAACAG
RNAcentral lists this ribosomal RNA (251 nucleotides) under uncultured prokaryote. RNAcentral describes it as "partial 16S rRNA". It matches the Rfam family "Bacterial small subunit ribosomal RNA", at positions 525 to 775 of the family's 1533-position model. The record is from RNAcentral.